This 497-nucleotide ribosomal RNA is filed under the name uncultured bacterium. RNAcentral describes it as "partial 16S ribosomal RNA". It matches the Rfam family "Bacterial small subunit ribosomal RNA", at positions 28 to 507 of the family's 1533-position model. The record is from RNAcentral.
GAUGAACGCUGGCGGCGUGCCUAAUACAUGCAAGUCGAGCGAACGGACGAGAAGCUUGCUUCUCUGAUGUUAGCGGCGGACGGGUGAGUAACACGUGGAUAACCUACCUAUAAGACUGGGAUAACUUCGGGAAACCGGAGCUACUACCGGAUAAUAUUUUGUACCGCAUGGUUCAAAAGUGAUUGACGGUCUUGCUGUCACUUAUAGAUGGAUCCGCGCUGCAUUAGCUAGUUGGUAAGGUAACGGCUUACCAAGGCAACGAUGCAUAGCCGACCUGAGAGGAUGAUCGGCCACACUGGAACUGAGACACGGUCCAGACUCCUACGGGAGGCAGCAGUAGGGAAUCUUCCGCAAUGGGCGAAAGCCUGACGGAGCAACGCCGCGUGAGUGAUGAAGGUCUUCGGAUCGUAAAACUCUGUUAUUAGGGAAGAACAUAUGUGUAAGUAACUGUGCACAUCUUGACGGUACCUAAUCAGAAAGCCACGGCUAACUACGUG